CAGGCAAAACAGACAGCCGCCGCGUGGCAACACGGGGAGGAAAGUCCGGGCUACACAGAGCACAAUGCCAGCUAACGGCUGGGCGUGGUAACACGACGGAAAGUGGCGCAGAGAGCAAGACCGCCGAUGGCGCAUCGCGCACAGGCAAGGGUGAAAAGGUGCGGUAAGAGCGCACCGUGCCGUUGGUAACAACGCGCAGCAGGCUAAACCCCAUUGGUAGCAAGACCAAACAGAACGCAUUGACGCUGCUCGCCGAGCGUUCGGGUAGGUUGCUUGAACUUUGUGGCAACGCAAAGUCUAGAUGAAUGGCUGUUCAACGACAGAACCCGGCUUAUCGUUUUACCUGCGCC
This is a non-coding RNA of Kingella oralis ATCC 51147, 350 nucleotides long. It matches the Rfam family "Bacterial RNase P class A". From Rfam's summary of the family: Ribonuclease P (RNase P) is a ubiquitous endoribonuclease, found in archaea, bacteria and eukarya as well as chloroplasts and mitochondria. Its best characterised activity is the generation of mature 5'-ends of tRNAs by cleaving the 5'-leader elements of precursor-tRNAs. The record is from Rfam. NCBI's taxonomy places the organism in Bacteria, Pseudomonadati, Pseudomonadota, Betaproteobacteria, Neisseriales, Neisseriaceae.